GACGAACGCUGGCGGCGUGCCUAACACAUGCAAGUCGUACGGAGUUCACUUGGAAGCUUGCUUCCGAGUGAACUUAGUGGCGGACGGGUGAGUAACGCGUGAGCAACCUGCCUCACAGAGGGGGAUAACACACGGAAACGUGUGCUAAUACCGCAUAAUCCGAUGAAGCGGCAUCGCUUUAUCGGCAAAGGAGCAAUCCGCUGUGAGAUGGGCUCGCGUCCGAUUAGAUAGUUGGUGAGGUAACGGCUCACCAAGUCUACGAUCGGUAGCCGGACUGAGAGGUUGGACGGCCACAUUGGGACUGAGACACGGCCCAAACUCCUACGGGAGGCAGCAGUGAGGGAUAUUGCACAAUGGGCGAAAGCCUGAUGCAGCGACGCCGCGUGAGGGAUGACGGUCUUCGGAUUGUAAACUACUGUCCUUGGUGAAGAAGAAAGUAGACGGUAGCCAAGAGGAAGCACGGCUAACUAC
Molecule: ribosomal RNA, 471 nt
Filed under: uncultured bacterium
Lineage: Bacteria
Description: bacterial SSU rRNA
Rfam family: Bacterial small subunit ribosomal RNA
Source: RNAcentral